CACUCAAUGCCGCUUUGAGCUUCUGGAAAGCGUCCGUGCACUCUGGGGUCCAGGCGACCUGUUUGGGAAGGGCCUUUUUGGUAAGGUCCGUGAGGGGCUUGGCCACGGCGCUAUAUUCUGGGACGAACUUCCUGUAAUACCCGGCCGUCCCUAAGAAAGCCAGUACCUGGGUUUUGGUCCGGGGUUGGGGCCAGUUAGCUAUGGCCUCUACCUUAGCGGGCUCUGGGCGUUGUCUACCGGAGCCGACCCGGUGGCCUAGAUACUGGACCUCGGCUAGGCCUACGUGACAUUUGUCGGGUUUUAAAGUGAGCCCGGCGAGGUGGAUUCGUUCGAGCACCCUGGACACAUGACCCAGAUGGUCUCCCCAUGUGCGGCUAUAGAUGGCAAUAUCAUCUAGAUACGCACAUGCGAAGUCCUGCAAUCCCUCCAGGAGCCUAUCCGCCAUCCGCUGAAACGUAGCCGGGGCGUUCUUCAUCCCAAA
Pelobates cultripes (western spadefoot toad) is the source of this 481-nucleotide non-coding RNA. The record is from the annotation of a GenBank genome assembly. Lineage: Eukaryota; Metazoa; Chordata; Amphibia; Anura; Pelobatidae.